Molecule: ribosomal RNA, 751 nt
Filed under: uncultured bacterium
Lineage: Bacteria
Description: bacterial SSU rRNA
Rfam family: Bacterial small subunit ribosomal RNA
Source: RNAcentral
CCGGAGCUUGCUCCACCGGAAAAAGAGGAGUGGCGAACGGGUGAGUAACACGUGGGUAACCUGCCCAUCAGAAGGGGAUAACACUUGGAAACAGGUGCUAAUACCGUAUAACAAUCGAAACCGCAUGGUUUUGAUUUGAAAGGCGCUUUCGGGUGUCGCUGAUGGAUGGACCCGCGGUGCAUUAGCUAGUUGGUGAGGUAACGGCUCACCAAGGCGACGAUGCAUAGCCGACCUGAGAGGGUGAUCGGCCACAUUGGGACUGAGACACGGCCCAAACUCCUACGGGAGGCAGCAGUAGGGAAUCUUCGGCAAUGGACGAAAGUCUGACCGAGCAACGCCGCGUGAGUGAAGAAGGUUUUCGGAUCGUAAAACUCUGUUGUUAGAGAAGAACAAGGAUGAGAGUAACUGUUCAUCCCUUGACGGUAUCUAACCAGAAAGCCACGGCUAACUACGUGCCAGCAGCCGCGGUAAUACGUAGGUGGCAAGCGUUGUCCGGAUUUAUUGGGCGUAAAGCGAGCGCAGGCGGUUUCUUAAGUCUGAUGUGAAAGCCCCCGGCUCAACCGGGGAGGGUCAUUGGAAACUGGGAGACUUGAGUGCAGAAGAGGAGAGUGGAAUUCCAUGUGUAGCGGUGAAAUGCGUAGAUAUAUGGAGGAACACCAGUGGCGAAGGCGGCUCUCUGGUCUGUAACUGACGCUGAGGCUCGAAAGCGUGGGGAGCAAACAGGAUUAGAUACCCUGGUAGUCCACGCCGU